UAUGGCAUUUCUGUAUGUUAUGUGGAUGUUUGUGAUGCUGUCUUUUCUGACCACAAACCAGUUAUUUUUGGGGUUUCUCUUCCAUGCCAGACUGAUAACAGGGUCCCCGCGGGUCCUUAAAAAGUCUUGAAAUGUCUUAAAUACAAUUUUCGAUUUUUAAGGUCUGAAAAUGUCUUGAAUCCUGGAAUUUUCCAUAUGAAUGUCUUACAUUUCAUGUCCGACUCGUCAUUUUUAUUUAUUUUUUCGACCGCACUUUGACCAGCGCAACAUUUGGGGGCAGCACUUCGUCGGUGCAACCUGCAUCAUUCCAUAGGUGACAUACGAGUAAGUGAUUACUGAACGCGUUGCGUUGAUGGUUCGCCACCACGGCAUUUUGCGAAAUCGCAAGCAUGGGCAAAGACGAUAAAGCUGUGGACAAGACCACGAUUGUCAGGUCUCCCUAUCUUGGUUCUCAGUUUUUGAGCCCCUCAACGGCAAAAGACUUGCUGGAGCACUUUAAGGAGGGCACCAAGGAACUUAAUUUAAGGAACAUGCUUUCUGUGUCAAUGGAUGGACCCACAGUAAAUUGGAAAGUCAUGGAUCUCCUACAACUGGAACAUGCAAUAAAUUUCUGAUCCUGAUCUUUCCUACAAUUGUCUGACAUUCAUUAGGUCUAUGCAUAGAUUAUUGAAUGUGCUUGCAUUUAUCUGUGUCUGAAAUGACAUAGAAAACACGAAUCAGACCCUGAACAACAUUUUCUUGGGGGAGAACCCCCAAACCCAACUCAAGACUAUUAGGCAGCAACAUUUACCCAUAAUUUAGAUCAAGUAUGAUGAAUACGUGGGCUUUUGUAAUGUCCUGGGGCUGUCUUCCAUGUCUUUUUCAAACUGCUAUGAGGGGCCAGAAUUUAGAAAUUACCUGAAGUACCUUAAAGGCUGAUAGUUUAUACAUAGUCAACCAUGUCAAGGUUGUAAGGUCAAUCAGCACUUGGUAUAAAAGUUUUCGCGCCCCUCUGACCUGUCUUGAGCGUGGCUGUGGUGAGUUGUGCCACACUAAUGCUUCAACACAUCAAUCUGUGUUGUCGGACUGAACAUUUUCCUGUUUUUUUUAGAUAAAGUCUUAAAUUUUCCUUUUAGAGGACUUAAAAAGGUCUUAAAAAGUUAUUAAAUUUGCUGUUAAAAAAUGUGUAGAUACCCUGGAUAAACCUCUUCCAAGUGUACGCCUAUGUCGUAGGAUAAAUACUAGCGUCAUUAACGAGUUUGCCACGAUGUUUGAAAAUAACUAUAAUGUGAAUGAUCCACUUUU
RNAcentral lists this long non-coding RNA (1284 nucleotides) under Carassius auratus (goldfish). Its description in RNAcentral is "lncRNA (ENSCARG00000029613.1)". The record is from RNAcentral. Lineage: Eukaryota; Metazoa; Chordata; Actinopteri; Cypriniformes; Cyprinidae.